This 253-nucleotide ribosomal RNA is filed under the name uncultured bacterium. RNAcentral's name for it is "partial 16S ribosomal RNA". It matches the Rfam family "Bacterial small subunit ribosomal RNA", at positions 524 to 776 of the family's 1533-position model. The record is from RNAcentral.
GACGAACCGUGCGAACGUUGUUCGGAAUCACUGGGCUUAAAGGGCGCGUAGGCGGGGUCGUAAGUCUGUGGUGAAAUCCGUCGGCUCAACCGGCGAAUGGCCGUGGAUACUGCGACCCUCGAGGGGUGUAGGGGCAUGCGGAACUCAGGGUGGAGCGGUGAAAUGCGUAGAGAUCCUGAGGAACGCCGGUGGCGAAAGCGGCGUGCUGGACACCUACUGACGCUGAGGCGCGAAAGCCAGGGGAGCAAACGGG